This 262-nucleotide unclassified non-coding RNA is filed under the name Hyphoderma pinicola. RNAcentral describes it as "partial internal transcribed spacer region". The stretch from base 1 to 46 matches the Rfam family "Eukaryotic small subunit ribosomal RNA", at positions 1786 to 1831 of the family's 1831-position model. Lineage: Eukaryota; Fungi; Basidiomycota; Agaricomycetes; Polyporales; Hyphodermataceae. The record is from RNAcentral.
AAGUCGUAACAAGGUUUCCGUAGGUGAACCUGCGGAAGGAUCAUUAAUGAAUUUAACGGCAGAGUUGUCGCUGGCCAUCUGGCAUGUGCACGCUCUGUUAAUUCAUCCACACACCUUUGUGCACCUUUCAUAGAUUGACAUACGGUGGAGUUCUUUCUUUACCAGUCUUUCUGUGCUAUAUCCUUACAAACAUCAGUAUCAGAAUGUCUCCUUGCGAUUAACGCAUUAAAUACAACUUUCAACAACGGAUCUCUUGGCUCUC